AAUAUAUCAAAAUCUAAGUUAGUCCUUCCUCUAUUUAAUGCAAGUUAUUUCUCUUCAAAAGCUUCACUUGUUUAGAAGUUAUUACGAAUCAAACAGGAGUACUUUUUUUUGGGCCACCCGGUAUAUAUAUAUGUAUGUAUAUGUAUAUGUAUGUAUGUGUAUGUGUGUGUGUGUGUGUGUGUGUGUGUGUGUGUGUGUGUGUGUGUGUGUGUGUGUGUGUGUGUGUGUGUGUGUGUGUGUGUGUGUGCGUGCA
Non-coding RNA from Paramuricea clavata, 253 nucleotides. The record is from the annotation of a GenBank genome assembly. NCBI's taxonomy places the organism in Eukaryota, Metazoa, Cnidaria, Anthozoa, Malacalcyonacea, Plexauridae.